AAUCCAAACCCAAAACGUGAGCAGGGCGAUCGUGAACCACCAGAAAAUCACAGAACAGCAAAUCCAGAAUUAAACACACAAAACUCCAACCCUGAAGUUGAGUUCCCCCAUAAAUUCUCCUCGAUUUGUACCAAUUUUUUGGCCAGAAUUGCUCUCCACCACCAAUAUCUGGGAUGUGGAAGGGAAAAGUGGCACCAGAGGGAAACGGGGAGUGGUUCCUUCCUUUCCUUUUAUCCCACAAAGUCUUUUUUUUUUUUUUCCCUCCUCCUCCUCUUCCCCAGCCCCACUAAAACAGCAGGGGGGUUUUUAGGGAGCUGUUUCCGACCCCAAAUUCCCUCCUGGAUGCUGGGAAGGCAAUUGAGCAGCAGUUGCCAAAAGCGCUUUGGGCUGGGGGGUGGAGGCUGUCCCAAAAAACGUGCCCAGGGUCACACAAAGGGGCCAAAAAGGGGCAGCAGGAGGGGCUGGGGGCAGGAAGGGCAGGAGCAGCUCCGGGACAAAUUUUGGGAAUUCUGCUCCACAGGGGAGUGGGGAUUGUGCUGGUUCAGGAAGGGCAGGAGCAAUUCCUGACCAAAUUUUGGGAACUCUGCUCCACAGGGGAGUGAGGAUUGUGCUGGUCCAGGAAGUCUCCUGACCAAAUUUUGGGGUCUCUGCUCCACAGGGGAGUGGGGAUUGUGCUGGUUCAGGAAGGACAGGAGCAGUUCCUGACCAAAUUUUGGGGUUUCUGCCCCACAGGGGAGUGAGAACUGUGCUGCUCCAGGUCCCAGCUGAGCCCCAGAACUCCACAGUGCUGCAGCUCCUCAUCCUCAGGGGUUUGGGCACUGCUGGGAUGUGCUGCUCCCCCCAGGACACAGAUCCAGCAUCCCAGAGAUUGCUGGGAUCCCACAGCUGGGGAUCCACCUGGGCUGGGCUGUGUCCCCAAAAGGGAGGGCUUCAAGGUGCAGAAAAUUAACAAAAUCCCUCUGCCAGCCCUUGCCAGAGAGGGAAGUGCUCAAAAUUUAAAAAAAAAUAAUAAUUCAGUGUAAUGCAAGGCACUGCCUGGACAUGGACUGUGCUCCAUCAGAGCAGCAGAGAAAAAAGGAAUAUUCCCAAUCCUCUUCUUCCAUCCCUUGCUCCAAGUCACUGCAGCAGGGCUCUGCUGAGGAAACAGCCACUGAAAAGUUCAAAAUAUCAGGAAAAAACACCAAACCAGGGACAGUUCAGGGCAAGGUGACCAUGGUAACGAUGAUGAUGAUGAUGAUGGUGAUGGUGAGAAGCCCAUCAGAGCUGCAGUGGCUUCAGCAGCAGGCCCAGCCUGGAGGGGAGGUCUCCUUGAUGUUGAUGUAAUCCCCAGUGCCAGCAGAGGAGGAGCUUCCAUCUCCCGCGGAUGAGGACAUCAUCUUCUCAAUCAGAACCCUGGGGGAAAAAAGUCCUGAGUUUGAUUUUGUUGGUUUUUUUUUUUUUUUUUCAGAAGAGAAAUAAAAAAUUUUAAAAAGCAAAGCCCUGAAGUGCA
Molecule: long non-coding RNA, 1489 nt
Filed under: Lonchura striata (white-rumped munia)
Lineage: Eukaryota; Metazoa; Chordata; Aves; Passeriformes; Estrildidae
Description: domestica (Bengalese finch) lncRNA (ENSLSDG00000002013.1)
Source: RNAcentral